Molecule: small nuclear RNA, 210 nt
Filed under: Sorex araneus (European shrew)
Lineage: Eukaryota; Metazoa; Chordata; Mammalia; Eulipotyphla; Soricidae
Description: U2 spliceosomal RNA (ENSSARG00000018592.1)
Rfam family: U2 spliceosomal RNA
About the family: U2 is a small nuclear RNA (snRNA) component of the spliceosome (involved in pre-mRNA splicing).
Source: RNAcentral
AUCACUCGGCCUUUUGGCUAAGAUCAAGUGUAGUAUCUGUUCUUAUCAGUUUAAUAUGAAGUUAAUGAUCACAAACCUAACAACAUACAGCAUUUGCACUACAUGGAAAUGGCCCUAGUGCAGUGACUCCUAGUGUGAUGUCAUGGGUCACAACGGAUUGUUUAUAGCUCCACAGGCACUUGCAAUCUAGACCUGAAUGGAAAAUAUUUC